GGUGCAUGGUUGUCGUCAGCUCGUGUCGUGAGAUGUUGGGUUAAGUCCCGCAACGAGCGCAACCCUCGUCCUAUGUUGCCAGCGGGUCAUGCCGGGGACUCAUGGGAAGACUGCCGGGGGUCAACUCGGAGGAAGUGGGGAUGACGUCAAAUCAUCAUGCCCCUUAUGUCUUGGGCUUCACGCAUGCGUACAAUGGCCGGUACAAAGGGCUGCGAUACCGCGAGGUGGAGCGAAUCCCAGAAAGCCGGUCUCAGUUCGGAUUGGGGUCUGCAACUCGACCCCAUGAAGUCGGAGUCGCUAGUAAUCGCAGAUCAGCAACGCUGCGGUGAAUACCGGUUCCCGGGCCUU
This 348-nucleotide ribosomal RNA is filed under the name uncultured Cellulomonas sp. RNAcentral's name for it is "bacterial SSU rRNA". It matches the Rfam family "Bacterial small subunit ribosomal RNA", at positions 1040 to 1382 of the family's 1533-position model. Lineage: Bacteria; Bacillati; Actinomycetota; Actinomycetes; Micrococcales; Cellulomonadaceae. The record is from RNAcentral.